GAUGAACGCUGGCGGCGUGCCUAAUACAUGCAAGUCGAGCGAACAGAUGAGGAGCUUGCUCCUUUGACGUUAGCGGCGGACGGGAGAGUAACACGUGGAUAAUCCACUUAUAUGACUGGGAUAAUUACGGGAAAGCGGAGAUAAUAGCGGAUAAUCUAUUGAACCGUAUGGUUCAAUAGUGAAUGACGGUUUUGGUGUCACUAAUCGAUGGUUCCGAGCCGCAUUAGCUAGUUGGUAGGGUAACGGCUUACCAAGGCAACGAUGCGUAGCCGACCUGAGAGGGGGAUCGCCGACACUGGAAGUGAGACGCGGUCCAGAGGCCUACGAUAGGCAGCAGUAUGGAAUCGGCCGCAGUGGGCGAAAGCCUGACAGAACAGGGGCGCGUGAGUGAUGAAGGUCUUCGGAUCGUGAAGCUCUGUUAUGGGGUAAGAACAGAUGUGGAAGUAGCUGUACACGGCUUGACGGUACCUAAUCAGAAAGCCACGGCUAACUACGUG
RNAcentral lists this ribosomal RNA (497 nucleotides) under uncultured bacterium. Its description in RNAcentral is "partial 16S ribosomal RNA". It matches the Rfam family "Bacterial small subunit ribosomal RNA", at positions 28 to 507 of the family's 1533-position model. The record is from RNAcentral.